AGUGAACGCUGGCGGUAGGCCUAACACAUGCAAGUCGAACGGCAGCACAGUAAGAGCUUGCUCUUACGUGUGGCGAGUGGCGGACGGGUGCUUAAUACAUCGGAAUCUACUUUUUCGUUGGGGAUAACGUAGGGAAACUUACUCUAAUACCGCAUACGACCUACGGGUGAAAGCAGGGGAUCUUCUGACCUUGCGCGAUUGAAUGAGCCGAUGUCGGAUUCGCUAGUUGGCGGGGUAAAGGCCCACCAAGGCGACGAUCCGUAGCUGGUCUGAGAGGAUGAUCAGCCACACUGGAACUGAGAAACGGUACAGACUCCUACGGGAGGAAGCAGUGGGGAAUAUUGGACGAUGGGCGAAAGCCUGAUACAGCCAUACCGCGUGGGUGAAGAAGGACUUCGGGUUGUAAAGCCCUUUUGUUGGGAAAGAAAAGCAGCAGGUUAAUACCCCGCUGUUCUGACGGUACCCAAAGAAUAAGCACCGGCUAACUUCGUG
Molecule: ribosomal RNA, 492 nt
Filed under: uncultured bacterium
Lineage: Bacteria
Description: partial 16S ribosomal RNA
Rfam family: Bacterial small subunit ribosomal RNA
Source: RNAcentral